Molecule: ribosomal RNA, 917 nt
Filed under: uncultured bacterium
Lineage: Bacteria
Description: bacterial SSU rRNA
Rfam family: Bacterial small subunit ribosomal RNA
Source: RNAcentral
AGUUUGAUCCUGGCUCAGGACGAACGCUGGCGGCGUGCCUAAUGCAUGCAAGUCGCACGCACUCGCUUCGGCGGGUGAGUGGCGCACGGCUGAGUAACACGUGGGAACCCGCCCCCCGGUGGGGGAUAACGCGACGAAAGUCGCGCUAAUCCCGCAUACGUCCGCAGGGGGAAAGCGCUUCGGCGCGCCGGGGGAGGGGCCUGCGGCCCAUCAGGUCGUUGGUGGGGUAACGGCCUACCAAGCCGAUGACGGGUAGCUGGUCUGGGAGGAUGACCAGCCAGACUGGGACUGAGACACGGCCCAGACUCCUACGGGAGGCAGCAGCAAGGAAUUUUCGGCAAUGGGCGCAAGCCUGUCCGAGCAACGCCGCGUGCGGGAUGACGGCCUUCGGGUUGUAAACCGCUUUUCGGGGGGACGAUGAUGACGGUACCCCCGGAACAAGCCCCGGCUAACUCUGUGCCAGCAGCCGCGGUAAGACAGAGGGGGCGAGCGUUGUCCGGAGUCACUGGGCGUAAAGCGCGCGCAGGCGGUCGCCAAAGUGUCGUGUGAAAGCCCCCGGCUCAACCGGGGGAGGCCAUGGCAAACUCGGCGACUGGAGCGGCGGAGAGGCCCCUCGAAUUGCCGGUGUAGCGGUGAAAUGCGUAGAGAUCGGCAGGAAGACCAAGGGGGAAGCCAGGGGGCUGGCCGCUGGCUGACGCUGAGGCGCGACAGCGUGGGGAGCGAACCGGAUUAGAUACCCGGGUAGUCCACGCCGUAAACAAUGACCACUCGGCGUGCGGCGACUAUUGACGUCGCGGUGCGCCUUAGCUCACGCGCUAAGUGGUCCGCCUGGGAACUACGAGCGCAAGCUUAAAACUCAAGGAAUUGANGGGGGCCCGCACAAGCAGCGGAGCGUGUGGUUUAUUCGAGGCACCCGA